RNAcentral lists this ribosomal RNA (462 nucleotides) under uncultured bacterium. RNAcentral describes it as "bacterial SSU rRNA". It matches the Rfam family "Bacterial small subunit ribosomal RNA", at positions 29 to 513 of the family's 1533-position model. The record is from RNAcentral.
AGCGAACGCUAGCGGCGGGCCUAACACAUGCAAGUCGAGCGGGGGAGCAAUCCCCAGCGGCGGACGGGUGAGUAACACGUAGGUUAUGUGCCCUUUGGUGGGGAAUAACCGUGGGAAACCAUGGCUAAUUCCGCAUAUCGAGCGAAAUCUUGAAAGCCUUCGGGCGCCAAAGGAGCAACCUGCGGCCCAUUAGCUUGUUGGUAGGGUAACGGCCUACCAAGGCGAUGAUGGGUAGCUGGUCUGAGAGGAUGAUCAGCCACACUGGAACUGAGACACGGUCCAGACUCCUACGGGAGGCAGCAGUGGGGAAUAUUGCGCAAUGGGCGAAAGCCUGACGCAGCCACGCCGCGUGAGUGAUGAAGGCCUUCGGGUCGGUAAAACUCUGUCGGGAGGGACGAAGGGGGCAACCCCGUACGGUACCGGUACCGUCGAACGAAAGGAACGACCGGACCGGUAACCUAA